AUACAUUUAUACAUAUAUUAUACAUAAUAUUCAUUUUUAAUUAUAAUUACGUAUAAUAAUUAGAAUUAAAAUAAUCUUGCAAGAGAAUAAACACCUUUACGUUACGAACUGUAAUAUAAAUCAAUAAAAUAACUUUGACCAAUUUUCUGAGUCUAAUAAUCCAGCGAUAUAGUAUAUCACGAAGGAUUUAUCAAUCGAGUUUUAAUCGAAAUUAUUUGCCAGCGAGUAAUACUAUUACAGCGGAAGGAAUCGACGAUAUGACGAUCAAACGAAUCCGACGGGAAAGAGAAAAGAAAAGGGCAGAUUGUUCGUACCGACACGUGAAACUUGGCUUCACCUCGAGAAACGAGACAUUCCGACUAGAAUGUGACUUGAUCGCUGGAAAUUCUUCCUGAGGAUCUUAAGACAACGCGCGGCAUUCUCAAAUGGGAGAAAAUCUGCAGAGAGAAGAAAAAUCUGGAAAUUUACAUACAAUGGUUACGGAAAGUAUUUGUACAUCGUUGUCUUCAUUAUAGCAUUUAUUAAUUAAUUGAGUGUAAUUAUAGGUAUCUUUGCAUCAUGCAGUAGUACUUUUAGCGAUUCGAAAUUUUCAAUUUAUUUUUCUUCAGUUCAUGACUCGGCUUUUUCUGUUCCUAUAUCGCAUUUAAAAAUUACGCAUAUAAUUUACAUUGCGCGAAAAAUAUAGUAAUUUCUUAUCCUAUCUUCGAUUUAAAAGAAUGGCAUAUAAAAGAAAGCGAACAAAGAAAAAUAUCAUACGUUAUCAACAUGAAAUUUUGAAAAAUAUUCAUUAACUUUCUCAGUAUUCCACUGAAUAAAUGAAACAUUUGUUCUCUCCGUUAUUUGUUUCUUAUCGAGGAAUACUAACUUCUCUUAUUUAUUUACCUGAAAGCUCUUUAGUUUUCACGAUACAAAAUUAAACGGAGCGUACAUAUUUUCUGAUAUUUCCCGCUCGAAUUUUAUCUUUACACGUUUUAUUCUAUUGUCUAUAAUUAAAGC
RNAcentral lists this unclassified non-coding RNA (996 nucleotides) under Bombus terrestris (buff-tailed bumblebee). Its description in RNAcentral is "misc RNA ENSBTSG00005032671.1". The record is from RNAcentral. Lineage: Eukaryota; Metazoa; Arthropoda; Insecta; Hymenoptera; Apidae.